This 253-nucleotide ribosomal RNA is filed under the name uncultured bacterium. RNAcentral's name for it is "partial 16S ribosomal RNA". It matches the Rfam family "Bacterial small subunit ribosomal RNA", at positions 524 to 776 of the family's 1533-position model. The record is from RNAcentral.
UACGUAGGGUGCGAGCGUUAAUCGGAAUUACUGGGCGUAAAGCGUGCGCAGGCGGUUUUGUAAGCCAGAUUUGAAAUCCCCGGGCUUAACCUGGGAAUGGCAUUUGGGACUGCAAGGCUCGAGUGCGGCAGAGGAGACUGGAAUUCCUGGUGUAGCAGUGAAAUGCGUAGAUAUCAGGAGGAACACCGAUGGCGAAGGCAGGUCUCUGGGCUGACACUGACGCUCAUGCACGAAAGCGUGGGGAGCAAACAGG